UACAUCGGCACCCUUUCUCCAUGUGA
Molecule: non-coding RNA, 26 nt
Filed under: Rattus norvegicus (Norway rat)
Lineage: Eukaryota; Metazoa; Chordata; Mammalia; Rodentia; Muridae
Source: RNAcentral